UACCAGCAGUCCAAGUCGUAGCCACAAUUAUUGGGUCUAAAACAUCCGUAGCUUGCUUCAUAAGUUUCCUGUGAAAUUCUGUCUCUUAAGAACAGAGCGUGCAGGAAAUACUGUGUUGCUAGAGACUGGAGGAUGUGAAGAGUACAGCUAAGGUAGUGGUAAAAUACGUUAAUCUUUGCUGGACUAACAAUAGCGAAGGCACUUCACAAUUACAGUUCUGACGGUGAGGGAUGAAGGCUAGGGGCGCAAAACGGAUUAGAUACCCCGGUA
RNAcentral lists this ribosomal RNA (270 nucleotides) under uncultured prokaryote. Its description in RNAcentral is "partial 16S ribosomal RNA". It matches the Rfam family "Archaeal small subunit ribosomal RNA", at positions 474 to 743 of the family's 1478-position model. The record is from RNAcentral.